CCUACGGGAGGCAGCAGUGGGGAAUAUUGCACAAUGGGGGAAACCCUGAUGCAGCGACGCCGCGUGAGUGAAGAAGUAUUUCGGUAUGUAAAGCUCUAUCAGCAGGGAAGAAAAUGACGGUACCUGAUUCAGAAGCCCCGGCUAACUACGUGCCAACAGCCGCGGUAAUACGUCGGGGGCAAGCGUGAUCCGGAUUUACUGGGUGUAAAGGGAGCGUAGACGGCAGCACAAGUCUGGAGUGAAAUGCCGGGGCUUAACCCCGGAACUGCUUUGGAAACUGGGCAGCUAGAGUGCAGGAGAGGUAAGUGGAAUUCCUAGUGUAGCGGUGAAAUGCGUAGAGAUUAGGAGGAACACCAGUGGCGAAGGCGGCUUACUGGACGGUAACUGACGUUGAGGCUCGAAAGCGUGGGGAGCAAACAGGAUUAGAUACCCCAGUAGUC
Molecule: ribosomal RNA, 440 nt
Filed under: uncultured bacterium
Lineage: Bacteria
Description: partial 16S ribosomal RNA
Rfam family: Bacterial small subunit ribosomal RNA
Source: RNAcentral